GACGAACGCUGGCGGCGUGCUUAAUACAUGCAAGUCGAACGGACAGGCCCUGCUCUUGUGGGGUGCUCGAGUGGCGAACGGGUGAGUAACACGUGAGUAUCAUGCCCUUGACUUUGGGAUAACUUCAGGAAACUGGGGCUAAUACCGGAUAGGAGCUCCUGCUGCACGGUGGGGGUUGGAAAGUGUCGGCGGUUGUGGAUGGACUCGCGGCUUAUCAGCUUGUUGGUGGGGUAGUGGCUUACCAAGGCUUUGACGGGUAGCCGGCCUGAGAGGGUGACCGGCCACAAUGGGACUGAGAUACGGCCCAGACGCCUACGGGAGGCAGCAGUGGGGAAUAUUGCACAAUGGGCGGAAGCCUGAUGCAGCAACGCCGCGUGCGGGAUGACGGCCUUCGGGUUGUAAACCGCUUUCGCCUGUGACGAAGCGUGAGUGACGGUAAUGGGUAAAGAAGCACCGGCUAACUACGUG
This 468-nucleotide ribosomal RNA is filed under the name uncultured bacterium. Its description in RNAcentral is "partial 16S ribosomal RNA". It matches the Rfam family "Bacterial small subunit ribosomal RNA", at positions 28 to 507 of the family's 1533-position model. The record is from RNAcentral.